This 503-nucleotide ribosomal RNA is filed under the name uncultured bacterium. RNAcentral describes it as "bacterial SSU rRNA". It matches the Rfam family "Bacterial small subunit ribosomal RNA", at positions 28 to 521 of the family's 1533-position model. The record is from RNAcentral.
GACGAACGCUGGCGGCGUGGAUUAGGCAUGCAAGUCGAACGGUAUCAUCCUUUCGGGGGUGAGAGAGUGGCGAACUGGUGAGUAACACGUAGGUUAUCUACCCUCAAGACGGGGACAACCCAGGGAAACUUGGGCUAAUACCGGAUGUGAGCAACUUUUAGUUGUUUGAAAGGUGGCGUAAGCUGUCGCUUGGGGAUGAGCCUGCGUCCUAUUAGUUAGUUGGUGAGGUAACGGCUCACCUAGGCAAUGAUAGGUAGGCGGCCUUAACGGGUGGUCGCCCACACUGGGAUUGAGAUACGGCCCAGACUCCUACGGGAGGCAGCAGUCGAGAAUAGUCUACAAUGGUCGGAAGACUGAUAGUGCGACGCCGCGUGAACGAUGAAUCCCUUCGGGGUGUAAAAGUUCUUUUAUAUGUGAGCAGUGCUUCUUAUAUUAACAGUAUGGGGAGAGAGAUAUUAGCAUAUGAAUAAAGCAACGGCUAACUCCGUGCCAGCAGCCGCGGU